Molecule: long non-coding RNA, 1018 nt
Organism: Syzygium oleosum
Lineage: Eukaryota; Viridiplantae; Streptophyta; Magnoliopsida; Myrtales; Myrtaceae
Exons: 2
Source: RefSeq, a predicted model, not a curated record
AACCCAUUCUCUCUUCCUCUCCCGAGCUCACUCGAAGCCCUCCCCUCCUUCUUCUUCAUCACCUUCGGCCUCGCCUUUCUGACUCCGGCUCCAGAAACUGCCUGGAUCGGGUUCCGAUUUCGGGCUCGAACGAUUUUGAUGGGGAAGUGAUUUCCUUUUGGCGGCUAAAAAUUGAAUCUGGACUUCCCAAACACACUGAAAUUCUAGUGCAAACGCUCAUUCUCAUCGGCUUUCGUAGCUUCAUCUGCUAAACCCAUCUUCUCUCUCGCUCGCUUGCUCUCUCGCUCGUAGCUUUGGGAUUCCGGCGACGCCGUCGACGGCCGUGGGGAUUUGUAAUGGAGGAGAGAGAGAGGAGUAUGGGUACUCUGUUUAAACCCAUUUUCUCUCUCUUUCUCUCUCUUGUAGCUUUGGGAUUCCGGCGACGGCGGCUAUGGAGGAUCGGUAUUCUGCUUCCAUGGGUAUCCGGGGAAUAGCAAGCAGGCGUUGUUUGGUAUAUUUGAUGGGCAUAGAGGUGCAAUCGCUACUGAGUUGGCCGACUUGAGUAAGUACAUCAUAGAUGAAGUGGUGAGAAGAGACUAGGAUGAAACAGAGACGGUUACCAGAAGACUGAUUUGGAUUUUUUGAAUGAGGAAUCACGAGGCAGCUCAUGCUGUGUAACUGGGUUGAUUAGAAGGGGCAACCACUUUGUGUCUAAUGCUAGAGAUUGUCAAGCUGUUCUUUGUAGAGCCGGCAUUGAAGAGGCUCGUAGAUCUGAUCAUAGGCUUUGCAGGGAAGAUGGAAAGGAACGGAUUAAGUCUCUCACAACAUUCUAUUCAUUCUUUACGUGUAAAAAGAUACUGCGUGGCAGAUUUAUAUGAAAUUAAGUUCUUUUACCUUAGCCACUUCCAUUCUGAAAUGGCUUGAGUUACCAAACUCUGCUUGUGUUAGAAGCUUGUGAGAUUUCUAUCCAUUUCAUGAAGGCUAAGAUUAAUGAUCAAACUGUUGUAUCAGCAUGUAUAUUAUGUUUUAUUUCUAUGUA